GACGAACGCUGGCGGCGUGCCUAAUACAUGCAAGUAGAACGCUGAAGGAGGAGCUUGCUUCUCUGGAUGAGUUGCGAACGGGUGAGUAACGCGUAGGUAACCUGCCUGGUAGCGGGGGAUAACUAUUGGAAACGAUAGCUAAUACCGCAUAAGAGUAGCUGUUGCAUGACAUUUACUGAAAAGGUUCAAUUGCAUCACUACCAGACGGACCUGCGUUGUAUGAGCUAGUUGGUGAGGUAACGGAUCACCAAGGCAACGAUGCAUAGCCCACCUGAGAGGGGGGUCGGCCAGCCUGGGACGGGGACCCGGCCCAGAGUCCCUCGGGAGGCACCCGUAGUGAAUCGUCGGCAAGGGGCGGAAGUCUGACCGAGAAACGCCGAGUGAGGGAAGAAGGUUUUCGGAUCGUAGAGCUCGGUUGUAAGAGAAGAACGAGUUUGAGAGUGGAAAGUUCACACUGUGACGGUAACUUACCAGAAAGGGACGGCUAACUACGUG
RNAcentral lists this ribosomal RNA (495 nucleotides) under uncultured bacterium. Its description in RNAcentral is "partial 16S ribosomal RNA". It matches the Rfam family "Bacterial small subunit ribosomal RNA", at positions 28 to 507 of the family's 1533-position model. The record is from RNAcentral.